Molecule: ribosomal RNA, 382 nt
Filed under: Gegeneophis orientalis
Lineage: Eukaryota; Metazoa; Chordata; Amphibia; Gymnophiona; Indotyphlidae
Description: partial 12S ribosomal RNA
Rfam family: Bacterial small subunit ribosomal RNA (bases 42-382)
Source: RNAcentral
GCUUAGCCACAAAACUUGAACACCUACAUCACCAUCCGCCAGAGUACUACGAGCAUAUAGCUUAAAACUCAAGGGACUUGGCGGUGUCCUAAAUCCAUCCAGAGGAGCCUGUUCUAUAAUCGAUAAUCCACGUUAAACCUCACCACUAUUUGCCAACUCAGCCUAUAUACCACCGUCACCAGCUUACCUUAUUGAAAGUAUAAAAGUAAGCAAAAAUGAUUUCACAAAUACGUCAGGUCAAGGUGUAGCAUAUAUAGCGGUAAGAAAUGGGCUACAUUUUUUUUUUAAAAAUCACGGAUAACAAAAUGAAAUUAUGUUUUAAGACGGAUUUGACAGUAAGAAUAGAUAAUAAUACUUUUCUUAAAUUGGCCCUAGGACGCGC